This 658-nucleotide ribosomal RNA is filed under the name uncultured bacterium. RNAcentral describes it as "bacterial SSU rRNA". It matches the Rfam family "Bacterial small subunit ribosomal RNA", at positions 8 to 655 of the family's 1533-position model. The record is from RNAcentral.
AGAGUUUGAUCAUGGCUCAGAUUGAACGCUGGCGGCAGGCCUAACACAUGCAAGUCGAGCGGCAGCACAGGGGAACUUGUUCCCUGGGUGGCGAGCGGCGGACGGGUGAGUAAUGGCUGGGAACCUGCCCUGAUGUGGGGGAUAACAGUUGGAAACGACUGCUAAUACCGCAUGAUGUCUACGGACCAAAGAGGAGGACCUUCGGGCUUCUCGCGUCAGGAUGGGCCCAGUUGGGAUUAGCUAGUUGGUAGGGUAAUGGCCUACCAAGGCGACGAUCCCUAGCUGGUUUGAGAGGAUGAUCAGCCACACUGGAACUGAGACACGGUCCAGACUCCUACGGGAGGCAGCAGUGGGGAAUAUUGCACAAUGGGCGCAAGCCUGAUGCAGCCAUGCCGCGUGUGUGAAGAAGGCCUUCGGGUUGUAAAGCACUUUCAGCAGUGGGGAAGGUUACGUAGUUAAUACCUGCGUGAUUUGACGUUAGUUGCAGAAGAAGCACCGGCUAACUCCGUGCCAGCAGCCGCGGUAAUACGGAGGGUGCGAGCGUUAAUCGGAAUUACUGGGCGUAAAGCGCAUGCAGGCGGUCUGUUAAGCAAGAUGUGAAAGCCCCGGGCUUAACCUGGGAACCGCAUUUUGAACUGGCAGGCUAGAGUCUUGUAGA